Molecule: ribosomal RNA, 563 nt
Filed under: Erwinia sp.
Lineage: Bacteria; Pseudomonadati; Pseudomonadota; Gammaproteobacteria; Enterobacterales; Erwiniaceae
Also listed under: 1 other name
Description: bacterial SSU rRNA
Rfam family: Bacterial small subunit ribosomal RNA
Source: RNAcentral
AGUGGCGGACGGGUGAGUAAUGUCUGGGAAACUGCCCGAUGGAGGGGGAUAACUACUGGAAACGGUAGCUAAUACCGCAUAACGUCGCAAGACCAAAGUGGGGGACCUUCGGGCCUCACACCAUCGGAUGUGCCCAGAUGGGAUUAGCUAGUAGGUGGGGUAAUGGCUCACCUAGGCGACGAUCCCUAGCUGGUCUGAGAGGAUGACCAGCCACACUGGAACUGAGACACGGUCCAGACUCCUACGGGAGGCAGCAGUGGGGAAUAUUGCACAAUGGGCGCAAGCCUGAUGCAGCCAUGCCGCGUGUAUGAAGAAGGCCUUCGGGUUGUAAAGUACUUUCAGCGGGGAGGAAGGCGGUGAGGUUAAUAACCUUGCCGAUUGACGUUACCCGCAGAAGAAGCACCGGCUAACUCCGUGCCAGCAGCCGCGGUAAUACGGAGGGUGCAAGCGUUAAUCGGAAUUACUGGGCGUAAAGCGCACGCAGGCGGUCUGUUAAGUCAGAUGUGAAAUCCCCGGGCUUAACCUGGGAACUGCAUUUGAAACUGGCAGGCUUGAGUCUCGUA